Molecule: long non-coding RNA, 439 nt
Filed under: Brachypodium distachyon (stiff brome)
Lineage: Eukaryota; Viridiplantae; Streptophyta; Magnoliopsida; Poales; Poaceae
Description: long non-coding RNA (BDIS_LNC003140)
Source: RNAcentral
AUGGGUUUUAACUACAAAAGGGGUUUAUUGCAUAAUUAGGCAAUCCCAUAAUUUUUGGAUAAUUAUUUGGAGUUGAAAAACUAUUGCAUUUAAAUAGUUAUAUAGCCCUAAAGGCACUUAUAGGGUAAAUGUAUUUUUAUAUAUUUUAUUUUGAGGGGAAAUUACUCCCAAAAGUUGAAUCAUGAUAAAACACAAUUUUACAAAUUUUCUGGAAUUUAUUUGGACCAAUUUGGAGUUCAAAAUCAAAAGUUAUAAAAGAAAAACAGAAAAGGAAAAAGGAAAAAGAAAAGUAGGGAAAAAAAAGGGAAACGGACCGGCCCGACCGAAUUGAGACCCCCCUCCCCAUUCCUCACGCACCCGCGCGCAGCUCAGCGCAUCAGCGCCCCGCGCCCGCGCCCGUCGAUGACAGGUGGGGUCCACCUGUCAGGCCUUCGUCCAG